Molecule: ribosomal RNA, 342 nt
Filed under: Triticum aestivum (bread wheat)
Lineage: Eukaryota; Viridiplantae; Streptophyta; Magnoliopsida; Poales; Poaceae
Description: partial small subunit ribosomal RNA
Source: RNAcentral
AUGUUGGAGACAAAUACAACAUCAGUGUUGCUGGAAGAGAAUGCCCGUAAGAGAAAGUCGGAUGAUGUGGGAUGGGAGUAUGGGAGUCUAGCCGAUGUUUCCAAGAAGGACAAAGUGAAGUGUUUGUUUUGUAACCAUGUGAUCAUUGGAGGUGUUUAUCAUCACAAGCAGCAUGUGGCUCACGUUGGUAAUUUUGUGGCUAAAUGCAAGAAAAGCUUGCAGGAAGCUAAAGAUAGGUGCAAGAAAUCUCUUGAGGAGGCAUCUAAGAAGAGGAGGGAAAAGACUUCCCGUGAUCUAGAGCUCAGAGAAGGCGUGAAUAUUUCUUGUGUUGGAGAUGCUUAA